Molecule: ribosomal RNA, 1539 nt
Filed under: Klebsiella variicola
Lineage: Bacteria; Pseudomonadati; Pseudomonadota; Gammaproteobacteria; Enterobacterales; Enterobacteriaceae
Description: bacterial SSU rRNA
Rfam family: Bacterial small subunit ribosomal RNA
Source: RNAcentral
AAAUUGAAGAGUUUGAUCAUGGCUCAGAUUGAACGCUGGCGGCAGGCCUAACACAUGCAAGUCGAGCGGUAGCACAGAGAGCUUGCUCUCGGGUGACGAGCGGCGGACGGGUGAGUAAUGUCUGGGAAACUGCCUGAUGGAGGGGGAUAACUACUGGAAACGGUAGCUAAUACCGCAUAACGUCGCAAGACCAAAGUGGGGGACCUUCGGGCCUCAUGCCAUCAGAUGUGCCCAGAUGGGAUUAGCUAGUAGGUGGGGUAACGGCUCACCUAGGCGACGAUCCCUAGCUGGUCUGAGAGGAUGACCAGCCACACUGGAACUGAGACACGGUCCAGACUCCUACGGGAGGCAGCAGUGGGGAAUAUUGCACAAUGGGCGCAAGCCUGAUGCAGCCAUGCCGCGUGUGUGAAGAAGGCCUUCGGGUUGUAAAGCACUUUCAGCGGGGAGGAAGGCGGUGAGGUUAAUAACCUCACCGAUUGACGUUACCCGCAGAAGAAGCACCGGCUAACUCCGUGCCAGCAGCCGCGGUAAUACGGAGGGUGCAAGCGUUAAUCGGAAUUACUGGGCGUAAAGCGCACGCAGGCGGUCUGUCAAGUCGGAUGUGAAAUCCCCGGGCUCAACCUGGGAACUGCAUUCGAAACUGGCAGGCUAGAGUCUUGUAGAGGGGGUAGAAUUCCAGGUGUAGCGGUGAAAUGCGUAGAGAUCUGGAGGAAUACCGGUGGCGAAGGCGGCCCCCUGGACAAAGACUGACGCUCAGGUGCGAAAGCGUGGGGAGCAAACAGGAUUAGAUACCCUGGUAGUCCACGCUGUAAACGAUGUCGAUUUGGAGGUUGUGCCCUUGAGGCGUGGCUUCCGGAGCUAACGCGUUAAAUCGACCGCCUGGGGAGUACGGCCGCAAGGUUAAAACUCAAAUGAAUUGACGGGGGCCCGCACAAGCGGUGGAGCAUGUGGUUUAAUUCGAUGCAACGCGAAGAACCUUACCUGGUCUUGACAUCCACAGAACUUUCCAGAGAUGGAUUGGUGCCUUCGGGAACUGUGAGACAGGUGCUGCAUGGCUGUCGUCAGCUCGUGUUGUGAAAUGUUGGGUUAAGUCCCGCAACGAGCGCAACCCUUAUCCUUUGUUGCCAGCGGUUAGGCCGGGAACUCAAAGGAGACUGCCAGUGAUAAACUGGAGGAAGGUGGGGAUGACGUCAAGUCAUCAUGGCCCUUACGACCAGGGCUACACACGUGCUACAAUGGCAUAUACAAAGAGAAGCGACCUCGCGAGAGCAAGCGGACCUCAUAAAGUAUGUCGUAGUCCGGAUUGGAGUCUGCAACUCGACUCCAUGAAGUCGGAAUCGCUAGUAAUCGUAGAUCAGAAUGCUACGGUGAAUACGUUCCCGGGCCUUGUACACACCGCCCGUCACACCAUGGGAGUGGGUUGCAAAAGAAGUAGGUAGCUUAACCUUCGGGAGGGCGCUUACCACUUUGUGAUUCAUGACUGGGGUGAAGUCGUAACAAGGUAACCGUAGGGGAACCUGCGGUUGGAUCACCUCCUUA